GAUUACGGCCAUACCACACUGACAAUGCCCGAUCUCGUCUGAUCUCGGAAGCUAAGCAGAGUUGGGCUGGGUCAGUACUUGGAUGGGUAAGCGCCUGGGAAUAACUGGUGCAGGAGGCA
Molecule: ribosomal RNA, 119 nt
Filed under: Cottoperca gobio
Lineage: Eukaryota; Metazoa; Chordata; Actinopteri; Perciformes; Bovichtidae
Source: RNAcentral